CACGUAGGCGGACUGGUGUGUCGGAUGUGAAAGCCCUCGGCUUAACCGAGGAAGUGCAUUCGAAACUGCCAGCCUUGAGUACGGGAGAGGAUUGCGGAAUUCCCGGUGUAGAGGUGAAACUCGUAGAUAUCGGGAGGAACACCAGUGGCGAAGGCGGCAAUCUGGACCGAUACUGACGCUGAGGUGCGAAAGCGUGGGGAGCAAACA
This 207-nucleotide ribosomal RNA is filed under the name uncultured bacterium. Its description in RNAcentral is "partial 16S ribosomal RNA". It matches the Rfam family "Bacterial small subunit ribosomal RNA", at positions 568 to 774 of the family's 1533-position model. The record is from RNAcentral.